UCUCGCAAUGCACGGGGUGUCUCCGCUCGUGUCGAUGAACGUAUAGAAUCGGCCUUGGCGUUCGACUAUGAAGAGUAUCUCGACCACACACACUAUGCUUAUUGGAGCUUCGAAACCAGUUACGUGUAUUUUGCGUUCACCGGGAUCUCUCGGUGAGAUCAUCAAGCUGCGUUUCUACCUGUCCUGGGAAUCCUCGGUUCCACAUAUUUUAUUCAGUCCUGAAAACAGAAAAGGGAGGAUGUCGUACAAGACGGGUGGUUCCGUUCCCCCUCUGUCUUCCUUGUGGUGCGCUGAUUGCGUAAAAUUGCGUCCGUCAGAGGACAUCGAAAAUGGGCCAUACGACACGAGCCAGAUUUAGGUGUCACCAACCGGUACACCCGUCACCGGUCACCCCAUCCGGUUCAAAUGAAAGAUCCGGCGUACGAGUCCCUUGUCCACAGGGCAGCUUCCAAACUUACAAGAUUUCUUCAUAACCAGGUUGUGUACGAAGCAAAAGAAAAAAGAAAAAAAAAGAAAAGAAAGGAAAGAAAGGAA
This is a long non-coding RNA of Ornithodoros turicata, 534 nucleotides long. RefSeq lists it as uncharacterized. The transcript has 2 exons. Lineage: Eukaryota; Metazoa; Arthropoda; Arachnida; Ixodida; Argasidae. The record is from RefSeq and is a predicted model, not a curated record.